CGCCCCGAAACACGCCCGGGGAGCCGGGGAGCGCGGGGCCCGAAACACCCGGGGAACGCGGGGCCGGAAACACCCGGGAAACCGGGGAGCGCGGGGCCCGAAACACCCGGGAAACCGGGGAGCGCGGGGCCGGAAACACGCCCGGGAAACCGGGGAACGCGGGGCCCGAAACACCCGGGGAACCGGGGAGCGCGGGGCCCGAAACACGACCGGGGAACCGGGGAACGCGGGGCCGGAAACACCCGGGAAACCGGGGAACGCGGGGCCGGAAACACCCGGGAAACCGGGGAGCGCGGGGCCGGAAACACCCGGGAAACCGGGGAGCGCGGGGCCCCGAAACACCCGGGAAACCGGGAACGCGGGGCCCCGAAACACCCGGGGAGCCGGGGAGCGCGGGGCCCCGAAACACCCGGGGAACGCGGGGCCCCGAAACACAACCGGGGAACCGGGGAGCGCGGGGCCCCGAAACACGCCCGGGGAACGCGGAGCCGCGGCCCCGGGACGGGAGGAAACGGGGAGGGAGAGGAGCAGGGAAUGGGCAGGGAAUAGGGAGGGAGAGGGGCAGGGAACGGGGAGGGAAUGGGGAGGGAGAGGGGCUCGGAGUGGGGCAGGGAAUGAAGAGGGAAUAGGGAGAAAGAGGGGCAGGGAAGAGGGAGGGAAUGGGCAAGGAGAGGGGCUCGGAGUGGGGCCGGGAAUGGGGCUAGGAUUGAGCAUGGAGUGGGACAGGGAACGGGCAUGGAGUGGGGUAGGGAAUGGGGCUAGGAAUGGGCAGAGGAGAGGCCAUGGAGUGGGGCAGGGAAUGGGGCAUGGAUGGGGCAGGGAGUGGGCAUGGAGGGGGACAGGGAACAGGGCAUGGAGUGGAGCAGGGAGUGGGUGUGGAAACGGGCAUGGAGACGGGCAGGGUGCAGGGCAUGGGAGUGAGAUGGGAAAUGGGGCAUAGAGCAAUGGAGCAGGUGUGGAGUGCAGUAUGAACAGGGGACAUGGAGUGGGGCAUCAAGCAGGGCACGGAAUGGGUCAUGGAGCGGGGCACAGAGCAGGGUUCAGCCAAGGUAAAGCCUUGUGCAAUGCAGGGCAUGGAUGCCACAGCCAGGAGUGCUUUGGCAUGGAGCAUGCCAGUGCCCUGGGAACAGCCAGGCACAGCCCAGUGUGUGGAAUCACCAAAUGACAGAAUCACAGGCUGGUUUGGGCUGCAGGGGACCUCAAAGCCCACCUUGUUCCACCCCUGCCAUGGGCAGAGACACCUUCCACUCUCCCAGCUUGCUCCAAGCCCCAUCCAAACCUGGUUUCCAGGGUUGGGGCAGCCACAGCUGCUCUGAGCACCCUGUGCCAGAAUCCCUCCCUCCCCUGCU
RNAcentral lists this long non-coding RNA (1349 nucleotides) under Lonchura striata (white-rumped munia). RNAcentral describes it as "domestica (Bengalese finch) lncRNA (ENSLSDG00000015039.1)". Lineage: Eukaryota; Metazoa; Chordata; Aves; Passeriformes; Estrildidae. The record is from RNAcentral.